RNAcentral lists this ribosomal RNA (435 nucleotides) under Escherichia coli. RNAcentral's name for it is "bacterial SSU rRNA". It matches the Rfam family "Bacterial small subunit ribosomal RNA", at positions 1043 to 1485 of the family's 1533-position model. The record is from RNAcentral. Lineage: Bacteria; Pseudomonadati; Pseudomonadota; Gammaproteobacteria; Enterobacterales; Enterobacteriaceae.
GCAUGGCUGUCGUCAGCUCGUGUUGUGAAAUGUUGGGUUAAGUCCCGCAACGAGCGCAACCCUUAUCCUUUGUUGCCAGCGGUCCGGCCGGGAACUCAAAGGAGACUGCCAGUGAUAAACUGGAGGAAGGUGGGGAUGACGUCAAGUCAUCAUGGCCCUUACGACCAGGGCUACACACGUGCUACAAUGGCGCAUACAAAGAGAAGCGACCUCGCGAGAGCAAGCGGACCUCAUAAAGUGCGUCGUAGUCCGGAUUGGAGUCUGCAACUCGACUCCAUGAAGUCGGAAUCGCUAGUAAUCGUGGAUCAGAAUGCCACGGUGAAUACGUUCCCGGGCCUUGUACACACCGCCCGUCACACCAUGGGAGUGGGUUGCAAAAGAAGUAGGUAGCUUAACCUUCGGGAGGGCGCUUACCAGUUUUGUUUCAGGGUGGGU